Molecule: long non-coding RNA, 1264 nt
Organism: Arvicola amphibius (Eurasian water vole)
Lineage: Eukaryota; Metazoa; Chordata; Mammalia; Rodentia; Cricetidae
Exons: 4
Source: RefSeq, a predicted model, not a curated record
GUCACCUCCAGUACAUGGUGCAGCAGCGUCACACGACUCUGCUGGGACUUGGUCUCUGUGAGCUUCAGCAACGUGCUAAUCUUGAAACCGUCUGCAUCUCCUGUGUGGCUGCCCUGUGAGGGACAGGGGGCUAAGCAGGAGCCCAGGGCUACUCACCAGGGAAUAUCCAAGAGGAGAAUGUAGAACUGGUCAGCACUGGCCAGUUUGGCUCGCUCCUCCGUGAACGCCCGCAGGUUCUCAAUCUGCAUGGAUGCCACAGACAUCUUGCUGAACUGCAGGGAGAGAGGAGGACAGAGCCAUCAGCCUGACCAGGGAACACACAGGACCCACAGAUUAAGAGAUCAGAGGCCAGCUUGGCCGCCCUUCCAGCUGUCCAGCUGUCUACUCACCCAGAUGCGCAGGACUUUCCGACCAUCUCUGCCUACACAUUCGGGACCCUGCCUCCAGCUUCUCAUCCCUGCUGCCAGCUGCCGGUGUGGACCUGGUUUCUCUUGGGCAGCGUUACGCCCUUGAAGUAGGUCUUGGUAGUAAGUGUGGGAGCUUUACCACAGAACGGAACUGCCUGACGGGCCUCUGCACACUCCCUAGUUUCUGUGCUGCCCAAAGAGGUGCCUAGAACUGGCCUCCCCGCCUCCCCGCCCCAUCCCUGCCUCCAUUGGCCAGAGGCUCUGUCCCCUUGGCACAGGCUGAGUGGUUGGAGUAUGAACUCACCCAGACCUGGCCUCUGGCAUCCAGAGUUCUCUGGCCAGGAGCUCUAGUCUUUCAUGCUGAACCCACCCGGUCUUUCUGGGACAUCAGGAUCACCAGAGUCACUGUGCCCCAGGCUUGAGGCCCCCAGAUACAAAGGUCAGGGUAACUGCUUGCCUUACAACUGCUCCUCUGGCACUUUCCAGUCCUCCUGCCCCGUGUGCAGCCUGUCCAAGGACUGUGGACUCACUCUGUGAUGGGAUCCUCCCUGUAUCUGUGGGGUGGGCCCUGGAUUCAUGCUCGCUUUCCUGGGAAUUUAUUUGUGGGGUUAAAAGGCUAAGCCCCAAAGCCCUACUGAUGACUGUCCACCUGGGAGAGCCAGUCUGGCUGGAAACCAAGAUGCCAAGGUGAGGAGCACUUUCUUCCUCUGCCAGGCUUCCUACCUCUCUGUAGGAUGACGCCGAGGGUGGACAGGUGACAGUGGCUUAAUACUGUGACAGCAUCUGGUACUCCACAGUCUAGCAGCUUUGGCCAGGAAGGUCAACGGAUUAGACCGAUUAAUGAUUGACAGCCUUCA